RNAcentral lists this ribosomal RNA (1439 nucleotides) under uncultured bacterium. RNAcentral describes it as "bacterial SSU rRNA". It matches the Rfam family "Bacterial small subunit ribosomal RNA". The record is from RNAcentral.
AGAGUUUGAUCAUGGCUCAGAACGUACGCUGGCGGCACGCCUAACACAUGCAAGUCGAACGAAGUAGCAAUACUUAGUGGCAGACGGGUGAGUAACAUGUAGGUAUCUGCCCUUUGGCCUGGAAUAACACGAGGAAACUUGUGCUAAUACCGGAUAAGUCUUUACGGAGAAAGCUUUAUGCACCAUUGGAUGAGCCUGCACUUGAUUAGUUUGUUGGUGGGGUAAUGGCCUACCAAGACUGUGAUCAAUAGCUGAUUUGAGAGGAUGAUCAGCCACAUUGGGACUGAGACACGGCCCAAACUCCUACGGGAGGCAGCAGUGGGGAAUCUUGCACAAUGGAGGAAACUCUGAUGCAGCGAUGCCGCGUGAGUGAAGAAGGCCUUUGGGUUGUAAAGCUCUUUCGUCGGGGAAGAAAAUGACUGUACCCGAAUAAGAAGGUCCGGCUAACUUCGUGCCAGCAGCCGCGGUAAUACGAAGGGACCUAGCGUAGUUCGGAAUUACUGGGCUUAAAGAGUUCGUAGGUGGUUGAAAAAGUUGGUGGUGAAAUCCCAGAGCUUAACUCUGGAACUGCCAUCAAAACUUUUCAGCUAGAGUAUGAUAGAGGAAAGCAGAAUUUCUAGUGUAGAGGUGAAAUUCGUAGAUAUUAGAAAGAAUACCAAUUGCGAAGGCAGCUUUCUGGAUCAUUACUGACACUGAGGAACGAAAGCAUGGGUAGCGAAGAGGAUUAGAUACCCUCGUAGUCCAUGCCGUAAACGAUGUGUGUUAGACGUUGGAAAUUUAUUUUCAGUGUCGCAGCGAAAGCGAUAAACACACCGCCUGGGGAGUACGACCGCAAGGUUAAAACUCAAAUGAAUUGACGGGGACCCGCACAAGUAGUGGAGCAUGUGGUUUAAUUCGAAGAUACGCGCAGAACCUUACCAACACUUGACAUGUUCGUCGCGACUUUAAGAGAUUAAAGUUUUCGGUUCGGCCGGACGAAACACAGGUGCUGCAUGGCUGUCGUCAGCUCGUGUCGUGAGAUGUUGGGUUAAGUCCCGCAACGAGCGCAACCCUCACUUUUAGUUGCCAUCAUUUAGUUGGGCACUCUGAAAGAACUGCCAGUGAUAAGCUGGAGGAAGGUGGGGAUGACGUCAAGUCCUCAUGGCCCUUACGUGUUGGGCUACACACGUGCUACAAUGGUAUCUACAACAGGAAGCAAAAUCGCGAGGUUAAGCAAAUCCUUAAAAGAUACCUCAGUUCGGAUUGCACUCUGCAACUCGAGUGCAUGAAGCUGGAAUUACUAGUAAUCGUGGAUCAGCGUGCCACGGUGAAUGCGUUCCCGGGUCUUGUACACACCGCCCGUCACACCAUGGGAGUUGGUUCUACCUUAAGGCAAGGUUUAAAACCCUUGACCACGGUAUAGUCAGCGACUGGGGUGAAGUCGUAACAAGGUAACCGUA